AUGAGCCCCCCACCCCCCGAUUUGGGGCCAGAUGCCCUAAAAUGGCUCGACCAUAAAGAUAUGGCAGACGACAUUAUUCAUCCUCUCGUCCCUCGCGUCGCCCUCCCUGGCGACACGGGGAAAACCCUAGAUCGAGGCAACUCGCCCCUCUCUCCUCCCUCCCCUCGGCUCGCCGCCGCCGGAGGAGCGGCCGGCGAAGUCCGGGCCGGCUCCUGUGAAGGUGGCGGCGGGGCCCUUUUUCUUUUUUUGCCUGCAUGCUUGGCGCGACGGCUGCCGGAUGGCGCGCCUGCUGCCAUGGACGGCGCGGGAUGGGGCCAAGAUGGUGCAGGGGCUCGCGCUCGCGAGAUAUCCUGGGCGACGCUGUGGCCCUGGGUGGUGCAUGGUGGGAGGCUCGCUGCGGUUGUCGGGCCAGAUCUGGGCCUGACGGGCUGGCGGCCGGUGGAGCGGGCGCGGGAUGAGCGCGGUCGGUGCCCCCAGCACGGAUCUUCUAGGUGGCGGCGCCGGUGCGUGAGGAGGUUGGGCAACACGGCGAUGAGGAGCUCUGAGCCCGAUCUAAGUUUGGGCACUCCUGGAGCAGGGGCGUUGUCCAGCCUGUUGGUGCUUGAGGAGGCUCAGGCAAACCAGAUCCAGCACGGAGGUCCGGUCUUUGUGCACGGCGGUGCGAGCACGUUAAGUUUUGGCCUGAUUUUCACUUUGUUUCGGCGCGCGGCGGUGCGGGGCGGUCAGCUAUGGUUCUACUUCGGUCUUUCCUGUGCGAUGCGGUGCGAAUUCUUGCCCAGAUCUGCGCACAAAGCCGGAGGAUGGCCGGUGUCGAUUUGGUUCGCCCAGGUCCUGCGAGCGGCGGUGCGGACCGGUCAGUGUGUGUUUGGCCUUGUUCUGCCCGGUGGUGCUGGGUUGGUCUCGGAUCCUGGAUGGUUGGUGGAAGGCUUGGCUCCGGAUGACCUCGUCAAUGCCGACGGUAACGGCAUCUAUGGAUGUCGUCUUCUUCCUUGGAGGUGCCUCCGUGGAGCUCGUUGCUCUUCCUGCCUCAUGGCUGAGGCCUCCGGAUCUUGGGUUUGUGGUGGUGCUGGCGGGUUUCUGUUUUCUUUCUUUUCUUUCUGCACUAGCCCUUUUGCGGUGCUUUUCUCCUUUGGAGGUGUUCUUGUUACUCUUCUUCUGAACAAUGAAUUUGGCAGUGCUACUGCCAGCGUUCAAAAAAAAAUAAAGAUAUGGCAGGCAAAUCACCAAGCUCGGUCUGAAUAUUGUAGGCAUACACAUGGGCGCCAGACGGCAGGCGGUGAGCGGAGGAGCAGGGCAUGUGACUACGCGAGGCAACGGUGGAGCUUGGCUUGGCGUGGCUACAUAGGUUGUUUCGGAGCUGGUAGAAUAAGCAGGCGGAUGCAUGUUAUAGCUCAAUUGCCCAUGGGUAAAAGAAUCGAGCACGACCAUUCAAUGAACGAGGAGCUGGGCCAAGUAUACACGAUUCUCACGGAUAAGACUGGGACUUUGAGAGUACGUAUGAUGUGCAGUAUAAUGUACGAGAGGCUGUCAAACUCUCAGAGUACGUAUGGUGAAGCGACACAGAAGCACAUAAAUGAUUACGCUGAUGCUGGCCUGAGGACACUAGUUCUUGCAUACCGUCAACUUGAGGAGAUCGAAUACACUAAAUUCGAAAGGAACUUCACAGCAGCUAAGAAUUCUGUCAGCGCUGAUCGGGAUGAGCUGAUUGACGAAGCGACAGAUUUGAUAGAGAGGGAUUUGAUUCUGUUUGGAGCCGCCGCCGUUGAGGACAAGCUGCAAAAGGGGGCCGGCAUCAAGAUAUGGGUGCUGACGGGCGACAAGACGGAGACCGCCCUCAACAUCGGAUAUGCCUGCAGUCUACUCAGACAAGGGAUGAAACAAAUAACCAUCACACUGGAUACACCAGAUAUCAUUGCCUUGGAGAAAGGUGGUGACAAAGGAGCCAUUAAUAAGGUAGAUAAAGUAUUGCAGAUUAUAGUUACCGAGUCCUCUGUCUAG
RNAcentral lists this ribosomal RNA (1998 nucleotides) under Triticum aestivum (bread wheat). RNAcentral describes it as "partial small subunit ribosomal RNA". The record is from RNAcentral. Lineage: Eukaryota; Viridiplantae; Streptophyta; Magnoliopsida; Poales; Poaceae.